GCAGUGGUGGCUCAGGGGUAGAACCGUCACCUUCCACGUGGGAGACCCGGGUUCGAUUCCUGGCCUGUGCC
This 71-nucleotide transfer RNA is filed under the name Loxodonta africana (African savanna elephant). It matches the Rfam family "tRNA". From Rfam's summary of the family: Transfer RNA (tRNA) molecules are approximately 80 nucleotides in length. Their secondary structure includes four short double-helical elements and three loops (D, anti-codon, and T loops). Lineage: Eukaryota; Metazoa; Chordata; Mammalia; Proboscidea; Elephantidae. The record is from Rfam by way of RNAcentral.